This is a non-coding RNA of Gossypium raimondii (Peruvian cotton), 74 nucleotides long. NCBI's taxonomy places the organism in Eukaryota, Viridiplantae, Streptophyta, Magnoliopsida, Malvales, Malvaceae. The record is from Rfam.
GAGCCUAUAGCUUUAAGGAUUAGAGCAUGUGACUACGAAUCAUGCUGUCGGGAGUUCAAAUCCCUCCUCGCUCA